CGUUCUGUAAGCCUGUGAAGGUGUGUCGUGAGGCAUGCUGGAGGUAUCAGAAGUGCGAAUGCUGACAUAAGUAACGAUAAAGCGGGUGAAAAGCCCGCUCGCCGGAAGACCAAGGGUUCCUGUCCAACGUUAAUCGGGGCAGGGUGAGUCGACCCCUAAGGCGAGGCCGAAAGGCGUAGUCGAUGGGAAACGGGUUAAUAUUCCCGUACUUGGUGUUACUGCGAAGGGGGGACGGAGAAGGCUAUGUUGGCCGGGCGACGGUUGUCCCGGUUUAAGCGUGUAGGUGUGUGUUCCAGGUAAAUCCGGUUCACUUUAACACUGAGGCGUGACGACGAGGCACUACGGUGCUGAAGCAACAAAUGCCCUGCUUCCAGGAAAAGCCUCUAAGCAUCAGGUAACACGAAAUCGUACCCCAAACCGACACAGGUGGUCAGGUAGAGAAUACCAAGGCGCUUGAGAGAACUCGGGUGAAGGAACUAGGCAAAAUGGUGCCGUAACUUCGGGAGAAGGCACGCUGACACGUAGGUGAAGUGAUUUACUCAUGGAGCUGAAGUCAGUCGAAGAUACCAGCUGGCUGCAACUGUUUAUUAAAAACACAGCACUGUGCAAACACGAAAGUGGACGUAUACGGUGUGACGCCUGCCCGGUGCCGGAAGGUUAAUUGAUGGGGUCAGCGUAAGCGAAGCUCCUGAUCGAAGCCCCGGUAAACGGCGGCCGUAACUAUAACGGUCCUAAGGUAGCGAAAUUCCUUGUCGGGUAAGUUCCGACCUGCACGAAUGGCGUAAUGAUGGCCAGGCUGUCUCCACCCGAGACUCAGUGAAAUUGAACUCGCUGUGAAGAUGCAGUGUACCCGCGGCAAGACGGAAAGACCCCGUGAACCUUUACUAUAGCUUGACACUGAACAUUGAGCCUUGAUGUGUAGGAUAGGUGGGAGGCUUUGAAGUGUGGACGCCAGUCUGCAUGGAGCCGACCUUGAAAUACCACCCUUUAAUGUUUGAUGUUCUAACGUGGACCCGUAAUCCGGGUUGCGGACAGUGUCUGGUGGGUAGUUUGACUGGGGCGGUCUCCUCCUAAAGAGUAACGGAGGAGCACGAAGGUUGGCUAAUCCUGGUCGGACAUCAGGAGGUUAGUGCAAUGGCAUAAGCCAGCUUGACUGCGAGCGUGACGGCGCGAGCAGGUGCGAAAGCAGGUCAUAGUGAUCCGGUGGUUCUGAAUGGAAGGGCCAUCGCUCAACGGAUAAAAGGUACUCCGGGGAUAACAGGCUGAUACCGCCCAAGAGUUCAUAUCGACGGCGGUGUUUGGCACCUCGAUGUCGGCUCAUCACAUCCUGGGGCUGAAGUAGGUCCCAAGGGUAUGGCUGUUCGCCAUUUAAAGUGGUACGCGAGCUGGGUUUAGAACGUCGUGAGACAGUUCGGUCCCUAUCUGCCGUGGGCGCUGGAGAACUGAGGGGGGCUGCUCCUAGUACGAGAGGACCGGAGUGGACGCAUCACUGGUGUUCGGGUUGUCAUGCCAAUGGCACUGCCCGGUAGCUAAAUGCGGAAGAGAUAAGUGCUGAAAGCAUCUAAGCACGAAACUUGCCCCGAGAUGAGUUCUCCCUGAGACUUAG
RNAcentral lists this ribosomal RNA (1606 nucleotides) under Salmonella enterica. RNAcentral's name for it is "partial 23S ribosomal RNA". It matches the Rfam family "Bacterial large subunit ribosomal RNA", at positions 1237 to 2824 of the family's 2925-position model. Lineage: Bacteria; Pseudomonadati; Pseudomonadota; Gammaproteobacteria; Enterobacterales; Enterobacteriaceae. The record is from RNAcentral.